RNAcentral lists this long non-coding RNA (8774 nucleotides) under Ananas comosus (pineapple). RNAcentral's name for it is "long non-coding RNA (ACOM_LNC027545)". The record is from RNAcentral. Lineage: Eukaryota; Viridiplantae; Streptophyta; Magnoliopsida; Poales; Bromeliaceae.
UUUAACCUCAAAACGCGGCGAAUCAUUCACCGCAUUAAAGCCUCUAGUUCUUUUAAAGGCGGUGAAUCGUUUACCGUAUUCAUUAAAGCGGUGAACAAUUCACCGUCUUCUUUGUAAUUUUUUAGAAAAGAGAUUAAGUUUGUUAAAACUAUACGUAGAUUAUACGAAAAAUAAAAAAAAGUGAGGUUGUUAGGAUUAUGCGUGAAAUAUUAAAAUUUUUGUUUAAUUAUUAGAAUUAUAUGAAUAAAUUAUUAGAAUUUUUUUGAUUGUUAGGAUUGUAUGGAUAUAUUAUUAGGAUUUUCAAAUUAAGAUUAUAUAUGGUGUUUGAUUAUUACGAUUGUACGGAUAGAUUAUUAGAAUUUUUUGAUUGUAUAAAGCACCGUUUGGUUAGGGGAUAGGGAUAGGAAUAGGCCCUUAUCCCCCCCUUAAUACCCAAACGCUAAUUUUUUACCCGAGAAUAGUAGUUCUCGGUUAUCCCUACCAACACCUUCAUUUUCUAUAUAAAACUUCUUAAUAUUUUUCUUAUCCUCGGGAACAAUCCAAUUUUCAUCCAAACGCUAUUUCUCUUAUCCCCAUACUUGUACCUAUUCCUGUAAUAGCUAGUUCUUGCUUAUAUCCGAACCAAACGGUACCUUAGGAUUUUAUGGAUAGAUUAUUAGAAUUUUAAGAUUGUUAAAAUUAUAUGUAAUUUAUUGAAAUAUUUAUGUGGUUGUUAGGAUUAUAUAUGAAAUAUAGAAUAAUAAUUUACCGUUUUUGUGAAAAAUUAUGAUCUUUAUGAAGGCGGUGAAUCAUUCACUGUCUUUAAGAGAUUAGUUUUUUAAAUAUAAUUUUAGCAAGAUUAUUUUGCAAAUAAUAAACUUUUAGAAGGUUAUUUUAUAAAAAAGUUUUUAGAUUGGAUUUGGGUUAAGCUAGAUUUGUGAAGCAGAUGCGAGGGCAUGUUUGGCCCUUGAUUGAAACCAAUCUUUUUUUUAAAAAAAAAAUUGCUUCUGAAUAAAAAAUAAAAUAACAAAUUAUUUAAAAAUAUUUAAUGUAUUAUUAAAAUAGAAAUCAAAAUGGAUAAUUAAGAUACUAAGAUUUUGAAAGAGGGUUUUAAUUAAGAAAAAGAAGGGUGAUAAAAGAAAAAGUAAUGGAGGUGUUUGUGAGAGAAAACUUCUUAGCAGUUUAUUCUGAAACGAAUCAAUCUAAAAUUCAAAUCAGAUUGGCUCAUAAGUGAAUUGAACAAUUUUCAUUCCUGAGUGGAAAGAAAAUGGAAUUCUGAUUUUUGUGAAACAAACAAUAACAAUUAGAAUCAAUGAAUUUCAUUUUGAUUUUAGAAUCUAAAAUGGAUAAACCAAACGAGCCUUAAACAAAGAACAUAUCCGAAAUGUGUGCUGGUAAAUUGAAGAUAAUAAGCUUGGCUCGAUAGAUCUGGCCUCUUAAGUAGGAGCCCUAAUCCGAAUUGAUUAAGGGCUUGAUAGGAUAUAGAAAUGUAUUUAAUGUUGGUUAGCUGAGCAACCUUAUCCUCUCUUCCACACUUCAGCAACCCCCCAUCCCACUUGAUCCAUCAAUGUCCAUUGGAUCUCACGUUGUUGUUAUGUCGAUGUUAGAAGAUGCAUUUGAACAACAACAUUUCUGGGUGUCUGGGUUUCGAAAUUUUCCCCUAUGGUGAUAAUGAAUGCAGCAUGCUGAUCGACCAACAGGUAUGCUAUGCCCACGAUCAGACAUAGGAUCGCAAUAGUUGUAUGCAAGGGACGCAGUUACUUUACUAUUUAUUUAUUCUCAGUAACGGGCAUAGCAUUGUUGGUAAUAUAACAUUGCUCCAACAGUUAAGAUACACAGAGAGAGAGAUGUCGAGAGAACUUACUCUUUAUAUUAAAUAAUAUCUCAACUUAGUACCAAUAAUAUCCAAUCUGCAGUUAAAUUGAAAAGUGGAAAAGAAAAAGAGCUCAACGUAUAUAAGGCCAACAAAAUUCUGACCGAACCUAAACAUAAUUCAACGAGAUCUGCUAUGACAAACCCAAGCAGUUAUUUAAGAAUAAAAUUGAUGCUGAUUAAACUCGGGAGAUUUCCUUAAUCAACUUCUUCAAUCUUGGGGCCAGCACCGCUGCUCCCACCAGCCGCAGGACCGUCUUCAUCCAUGUCACCCGCCAUAUCAGCACCCGCACCCUGGUACAUCUUGGCAAUAAUUGGGUUGCAGAUGCUCUCGAGCUCCUUCAUCUUGUCCUCAAACUCAUCGGCCUCCGCCAGCUGGUUGCUGUCAAGCCAUUGGAUCGCCUGCUCGAUCGCAUCCUCAAUCUUCUUCUUAUCGGUGGCAGCCAAUUUGGACGCAAUCUUGUCGUCCUUGAUGGUGUUCCUCAUGUUGUACGCGUAGUUCUCAAACGCGUUCUUCGCCUCAACCUUCUUCUUAUGCUCCUCGUCCUCCGACUUGUACUUCUCGGCCUCUUGCACCAUCUUCUCAAUCUCGUCCUUGCUGAGCCUUCCUUUGUCAUUAGUGAUCGUGAUCUUGUUCUUCUGCCCGGUCGUCUUGUCUUCUGCCGAGACGUUCAAUAUACCAUUGGCGUCGAUAUCGAAGCACACCGUGAUCUGCGGCACACCUCUCGGUGCAGGUGGGAUACCGGAGAGCUCAAAUUUCCCCAAAAGGUUGUUGUCCCUGGUCCGCGUUCUUUCUCCUUCGUAGACCUGAAUUAGGACACCAGGCUGGUUAUCGGAGUAGGUGGAGAAGACCUGCUCCUUCUUGGUGGGAAUUGUGGUGUUUCUCGGGAUCAAAACGGUCAUCACACCGCCAGCUGUCUCCAACCCAAGGGAGAGAGGGGUGACGUCCAACAGUAAUAGAUCCUGAACUUUCUCGUUGCCCUCGCCGCUUAAAAUCGCGGCUUGGACCGCAGCACCAUAAGCAACAGCCUCAUCGGGGUUGAUGCUCUUGCAGAGCUCCUUCCCAUUGAAGAAGUCCUGCAGCAGCUGCUGGACACGUGGGAUUCUGGUGGACCCACCGACAAGCACAACGUCAUGAACAGAGCUCUUGUCCAUCUUGGCAUCUCUCAAGCACUUCUCCACGGGCUCCAUACACUUCCUGAACAGGUCCAUGUUCAGCUCCUCAAACCUGGCACGGGUAAUGGGUGAGUAGAAAUCAAUGCCUUCGUACAAAGAAUCAAUCUCGAUUGUGGUUUGGGCAGUCGAGGAGAGAGUCCUCUUCGCUCUCUCACAGGCUGUCCUCAGCCUUCUCAGAGACCUAGGGUUUCCACUGAUGUCCUUCUUGUGUUUCCUCUUGAACUCUUGAACAAAGUGGUUCACCAUGCGGUUGUCAAAGUCCUCGCCACCGAGAUGCGUGUCACCAGCUGUGGCCUUCACCUCGAAGAUCCCCUCUUCAAUGGUAAGGAGGGAGACAUCAAAGGUGCCGCCUCCUAAGUCGAAGAUGAGAACGUUCUUCUCUCCAACACUGGUGGCCUUCUUGUCAAGCCCAUAGGCAAUAGCAGCCGCUGUGGGUUCAUUAAUAAUACGCAUGACAUUGAGGCCGGCAAUGACACCUGCAUCUUUAGUGGCCUGCCGCUGAGAGUCGUUGAAGUAGGCAGGGACGGUGACAACGGCGUUCUUGAUGGUGGAACCAAGAUAGGCCUCAGCAAUCUCGCGCAUCUUCAUCAGAACCAUUGAGGAGAUCUCCUCAGCUGCGAAUUGCUUCUCUUCACCCUUGUGCUGCACCACAAUCAUGGGCUUGUCCCCAGGUCCUGCAAUGACCUUGAAGGGCCACAAUUUCAUGUCGCUUUGGACAGGGGCGUCACUGAACCGCCUCCCAAUUAGACGUUUUGCAUCUGAAACAGCAUACAAGCAAUGCAAUAGCUGUUAGAAUUUAUGGAUCUAUGACAAGCUAAAAUUGGUGCAAGAUGCAAGACAAAGUAGCCGAGCAACACUAAUCGCUUCAAAAGAACUAUUGGAAACGGAGAAGCCUCUAUUGCAAAGAGCAUUUGCAUGUACACUAUAGCUUGAGAAACAUUUAGAAAGGAAAGAAAUUUAGGCGAAAAAAUUAGUAAUUGUGAAUAUGCUAAGAGACCAGCAUACAUGAACAACAGCUGAGAAAUAUGCAUGCAGUAUACUUAGGUACCAUUAAUUAAAACCACAAAUAUGAAACAUCUGAAAUGCAAAAUUAUGUAGUUUUGCGACUACUAUUCUACAGGAAGAUGGCAUAAUUAACAUAUUAAAAAAGCAACUUUCUAUACAGUGAGUUCUCUGCGACAAUCUUUGCACUAAGAUGAGGAGGAAACAUUUUCAUAUUCGCUACUAAUUCUAGUAUUUAUUGAGUGAACACAUUUUCCUUCUCCCAUAUGGAGGAAUGAAAAACAUAUUCCCUUAUCUCUCAUUCAAGAUAAGUGGAUCGAGUAAGCACAUAUGCCAUCUAUAAUUCUAUAAAUUACAAAGUAAGGAUCCACAGAACUAAUCAACUUUGUUUACUUGGAAUUAUUGGAAAAGGAAAACGCCCAAAAACAGAUCCCAAUUACAGACCAAAAGAGAGUGCGACAAAAGGUAACUACCACAAUACAACAACCACACAUAUCAAAUCGACUGUUAGGAGAACAGAUCCAGACCAUGAAACAGCAUAUCGAUCAAUACAUUAAAUCGAUAAUGGAAAGACAGAUCGAUGCAAGGCAACCCUAUCUCAGACAAAAGUCAACCCGUCGCUAUUUUAAAACCUUCAGAUCUACGAAAAUACCACAAAAGGGGCAUAAAAUUUGAAGAGACGGGUUCACCCAAUCUCUGAUCUGCACAACAGACGUGCUUACGAUACAAUUAAAUGAUCAACAAGCUCGAAGUUACACACUUCUAGUCCAGAUAUACUAUAUAAGCAAAUGAAAACAAGACAAAACGCAUUGGUCCAGAAACAUCAGCGACUUUUUCACCAGAUCUACCAUUAGAAUCACAAAGAGACACACAAAUAGCUACUAAAAAACGCAGAUCCAUCACAAAUCACACCGAGUAACACACUGAGGAUUACAGAUCUACCGAACAGAGAUGCGAGAGAUCGAGAGAACUCACCGAAGACGGUGUUGGUGGGGUUCAUGGCGACCUGGUUCUUCGCGGCGUCGCCGAUGAGGCGCUCACUGUCGGUGAAGGCGACAUAGGACGGUGUGGUGCGAUUCCCCUGGUCGUUGGCGAUGAUCUCCACGCGAUCGUGUUGCCACACCCCCACGCACGAAUAGGUGGUGCCGAGGUCGAUCCCGAUCGCCGGUCCCUCGCCUUUCCCCGCCAUGUUCGAUCUACAAAUGGGAUCUACGAAAAAGACGAAGAAGGAAACGAAGAAGAUGAGGAGAACAGAUCCGUCGCGGCGGAGGCGGCGGAUAAAUAACCUAAAAUAGUUAGAGGAGGAGGAGCAAAGCAGAGUAUGAGGGAGUAUAUAUAGUUUCGUCGAGGCGCUUUACACCGAAGCCUUUGAUGGAUCCCGACCGUUGGAUUUGAUCUGGACGGAUUUUGAGGCGGUCUUGUAGCCAAAUUAGUGGAACGGGCUGAUCGUUCCACGGUUCUAGAGAGUGCGAGAAGGUUCUAAACGUGCGUAUUGACUUUGACCAGAGUCGAUCAAGGCCGCUCGAUUGGAGUAAUCUAUAAAUGGGCACCGUAGGUCGGCAAUACAGUUAGAUCAAUUUUCGGCCGUCCGAUUAACGUGACAGCGAAAAUUUGCUGGACGGCACCAAAUAGUAUGGCUCGUGGGGGCCCACCGUGAAAACUAUUGUCUAAAACUCCCUCUACCACGUCAUCAUAGACCAAGCCAGUUAAGAAUCGGUCAUUUUUUUAAUUUUUUAAUCGGCCUCAUUAUUCACCCCACUUCAAAUAAUAAAUAAAUGUAACCAUUACUGUAGAUUUCAUUAUCCCACCCCAUACUAAUACGAACCUAUUAUAAUUAACACAUAAGAAACUCCAAGAAUCAAAUCAGCAAAUAUGCAUAUAUGGCGUUUGAAAUUUAAUCUAAAAAUUUCUUGAGGAUAAAAAUUUACUGUACUAGAUAAUAUUCUACAUGUGAUAGAAACACACCUCUUGUGAGUAGAAUACUAUAUUGUAUGCAGUCGAAAAGAGGAUUCAGUAUUAUAUAACAUCCUAAAAAAAAGAUUCAAUAUGACAAAUAUAUGGUAGUAAAAUCAUUUAUUUACAAAUAUACUUGGAUUAUAUCAAACACAUGUGAGUAUCUCAAAAAUUAUUUCACUCAUAUAUAUUCUUUUUCUCGCUAUGACACUGCCUGAUUAGUAUACAUCUAUAUAGGCAAAAGAAUGCAUCGAAGGCCGUUAUCAGUACAUUUGAUGAAAUCUAAUUAAUUAUCUUAUAUUUUUGUUUUGUUGCAAUUAGCGAACUUGAGAGAAUAGCAAAGGUUGCUUUGAGUAUAAAAAGUGGUGUAAAGAGGUACGUAUAAGAACACUUAGCUCUUGUUUGGUUGGGGGGUUAAGGGGUGGAAUAACCCCUUAACCUCCCCAAACACCCUAAAAAAUAGGUGGGAUUAGCUAACCCCACCUAACCUCACCUCAAAUAAAUUAUCCCGGGUUAGCUAACCCCACCUAACCCCAUCAAACUCCAACCAAACACUAUUUUCUAUUCAUAAUAACUCACUAUCUUUCUUAUCACACAUACUCCAACCAAUCAUCAUUCUUCUUUAUCAAUCACUAUCUUUUUAUCCCACCUACCCAACCAAACACUAUUUUUCAUUAUUCUAGACUAACUCCAACCCCCAACCAAACACAAAAAAACUUUAACCCCACUUUAACCCUGAACUUAACUCUAUCCCUGGAAUAGCUACUUUUUCCUUAACCCCGAACCAAACGGAGGCUUAUUAAUUCAUCUUAUACACUUAUUAAUUCAUAUGUUAUUGCAUAGUAACAGAAUAACUGGCAAUGUGGAAGUCCAUUUGUAUAAGUACUUAAAAAUUCUCUAAUUAUUGAGCAAUGUACUCAAAACCAUUUUUACUUCUGGAGACGUACGUAACAUGAUUAAUGCAUUUGAAACGUGUAGGGAACGUAUCUUGUUUUGUCCAUAACUAAAAAAUUCUCCCCUUUUUAGAGGAACAAGUUUGUACUGUAAGCUUAAGAGGAACAAAGGUUUAGGAGGGUAUGCCAAAUUCGAUGACAAUCCCAAGUGAAACAUUUUGGUUGGACUAUGGCGCUGGGAUAAACUAAAUCAAGGAGACUUAAUAUAAGAAAUUUAAAAUUGUGAAAGGAGGAUAUAUAUAUAGUCCGGCUAUUAUACUCUUAUGAGUAUGAUCACAUUCGUACUCAUAAGUGAUUUUUGAUGAUAGAGUUUUCGAAUCGACGAUCCACACCAUUAAAUGUUAUCUAAAGCAUUUAAAACGUCUAGAAAUCAAAUUUUAUAAUUUUUCAACAUCAUUUACCUUACGAUCAAAAAGUCACAAAAUUGACAAUUUUUAACGGCCAGUAUGGAAUAUUUGCUAGUUUAACGGUGUAAAAGAAUCGAAAUCGGUUGAAUUUUCGAUAGAAAAUUUUAUUCACUAUAUAGAUAAAGAUUAAUAACUCCGAUCUAAAAUUGAAGGAUCCGAUCAUCUAUUUUUAAGACGUCGUUCGAUUUUGAUUGUUUAUUUUAUAUCCGCUUGAUGAACUUUAUUAUGAUUUCGAAAAAUUACGAAAUUUAUUUUCUAGAAGUUUCAAAUAUUUUAGAUCAUAUUUAACGAAGUGAAUCGUCGAUUUAGAAGCUUAAUCAUUGAAAACAACUUAUGAGUAUGAAGGGUUCUAUACUUAUAAGAGUAUAGUAGUCCUAACCUCUAUAUAUAUAUAUAUAUAUAUAUAUAUAUAUAUAUAUAUAUAUAUAUAUAUAUAUAUAGAAAGAGAGAGAGAGAGAAAGAGAGCAGGUCUUGUAUGCUAUUAGAAGCACGAAGGUCUUCGUGCUCUUAUCCGUGCUCCUAAGACGUUUUCGAUGAUGGAGCUUUCGAAUCAACGAUCGGCUCCGUUAGACUUGAUUUAGUGUAUUUGAACCAUCUAGAAAAUAACUUUUGUGAUUUUUCGGUAUCAUUUUUCUAGCGAUCAAAAGGGUUCAAAAUCAGCAAUUUUUAAUGGUUGAUGUAUACCGUUUGCAAGUUUAACGGUAUAGAAGUAUUCAAAUCAGAUAAAAUUUUGAUAGAAAAUUCUUUAUACUAUUUACAGCAAGAUCAAUAUCUUUGAUCGAAAAUUUUAAUGUUAUAUCACCAUUUUUUUUGAGAUUUUAUUUUCAGCCGUUGAUUUUGAACCCUUUCAAUCGUUAGAUAAAUGAUAUCGAAAAGUCACAAAAUUUAUUUUCUAGAUGCCUCAAAUAUGUAAGAUCAAGUCUAAUGGAGCCGAUCGUCGAUUCGGAAGCUCCAUCAUCGAAAACAGCUUAGGAGCACAAAGACCUCCGUGCUCCUAAUAGCACACAAGACCCACACACACACACACAUAUAUAUAGAGCCAGGCUGCUGUGCUCUCAGGAGCACGGAGGCCUCCGUGCUCCUGAGCCGUUUUCGAUGAUGGAGUUUCCGAAUUAACGAUCGGCUCCGUUAAAUUUGAUUUAGCGUAUUUGAAGUUUCUAGAAAAUAAUUUUUGCGAAUUUUCGAUAUCAUUUACCUAGCAAUCGAAAUGAUUCAAAAUCAUUUAACGGCUGAAAAUAAAAAUCCAAUAAAAAGUGGUGAUAUAGCACUAAAAUUUUCGAUCAGAAAUAUUGAUUUUGUUGUAGAUAGUAUAAAGAAUUUUGUAUCAAAAUUUCAUCUGAUUUGAAUACUUCUACACCGUUAAACUUGAAAACGACAGAUAUCAACCAUUAAAAAUUAUAAAUUUUGAAUCCUUUCAAUCACUAGGUAAAUG